GAAAAGAACUUUGAAGAGAGAGUUCAAGAGUACGUGAAACCGUUCAGGGGUAAACCUGAGAAACCCAAAAGAUCGAAUGGGGAGAUUCAUCGACGACGAAGCUGGCUCCCGUUGGCGUGCGAUUCCCCCGUUGGGACCUCGGUUCCAGAACGCGGGGUACACCCCUUCGGCGAAUAACCGGCGACGUAGUCGUGCACUUCUCCCUUGGUAGAACGUCGCGACCCGUUGUGUGUCGGUCUACGGCCUGGGCUAUUUGCCUGUCGCGGUGGCAUUCGUUCGCUCGCGGCAGAGGCUCGGUCGCCCGGCCGGCUGCACGACGGUACUCCGACGGUAUCGGGCCGCAACCAAUCCAUUCUCGAAUGGUAUAUGCGUCCAGGCCCGUCGCAAGCUCGGACAGCACCCGGAGCGUGUGGACGCAGCGCCCUCCCCGGGUCUGGCCAGCUGUUAGCAGACGGUGUCCUCGGACCGGCCAAGCUUCGAAUUACCGGUCAGCGACGCUAUUGCUUUGGGUACUCUCAGGACCCGUCUUGAAACACGGACCAAGGAGUCUAACAUGUGCGCGAGUCGUUGGGACAUUGAAACUUAAAGGCGAAAUGAAAGUGAAAGUCGUCGUAAGCGUCGACCAAGGGAGGAUGGGCCGCGUCACGUCGCGGCCUCGCACUCCCGGGGCGUCUCGUUCUCGUUGAGAAGAGGCGCACCCAGAGCGUACACGUU
Molecule: ribosomal RNA, 714 nt
Filed under: Colletes infracognitus
Lineage: Eukaryota; Metazoa; Arthropoda; Insecta; Hymenoptera; Colletidae
Description: eukaryotic LSU rRNA
Rfam family: Eukaryotic large subunit ribosomal RNA
Source: RNAcentral